RNAcentral lists this ribosomal RNA (427 nucleotides) under uncultured bacterium. RNAcentral's name for it is "partial 16S ribosomal RNA". It matches the Rfam family "Bacterial small subunit ribosomal RNA", at positions 355 to 774 of the family's 1533-position model. The record is from RNAcentral.
UGGGGAAUAUUGCACAAUGGGCGCAAGCCUGAUGCAGCCAUGCCGCGUGUAUGAAGAAGGCCUUCGGGUUGUAAAGUACUUUCAGCGGGGAGGAAGGCGAUAAGGUUAAUAACCUUGUCGAUUGACGUUACCCGCAGAAGAAGCACCGGCUAACUCCGUGCCAGCAGCCGCGGUAAUACGGAGGGUGCAAGCGUUAAUCGGAAUUACUGGGCGUAAAGCGCACGCAGGCGGUCUGUCAAGUCGGAUGUGAAAUCCCCGGGCUCAACCUGGGAACUGCAUUCGAAACUGUCAGGCUAGAGUCUUGUAGAGGGGGGUAGAAUUCCAGGUGUAGCGGUGAAAUGCGUAGAGAUCUGGAGGAAUACCGGUGGCGAAGGCGGCCCCCUGGACAAAGACUGACGCUCAGGUGCGAAAGCGUGGGGAGCAAACA